CACUUGUGUAAUGGUGUCCACUCUUUGUUUUUCUAGUACAUUCUUCUUUUUCAAACAAUCAUAGAAGAUUCCCAGUGUGUGAACCAGGCAAAGAGCAUUGCCACCACCCCAGGGGACCGUCCCUCCCCCCAGAUCCUGCAGUGCCCUGGGGCUCCGAGGACGGCCUAACUGCCCGCGAGUCCUGGCUGGGACCACAGCUCUGCUUCUCCUCUCAACAGUCCAUCCGCCUCCGCGACUAACGUGCUUUCCUCCAGGAUGAAGAGUGCCUUUGGUAGGACCUAGGACAUCUGUGAGCAAAGGCGGACUGACGCCUAACAAGGACGGCCGGGGCCUCCAAACACAAGCCAUGAGAAUUGAGUUUCCUGCAUUUUUCAGGAUAACGUCAAUAGAAUGGCAAUAACUUGUCUGGGUGAUUUGAUUUUAUAUACACGAAUUUCAUCUCCAGUGGCAGCACAGUGACUUGGUCAUAAUAGAUAAAGGAAGAUCUAAAGCUGCCUGGACCGAAGGACGCUCUUGAUCACAUGGGAUGUAGCCGUGGCUGCGUGUCAACAGUGUUUCUGGUCAGAAUCUCCGUGUCCACGAGGUCAGUGGGUAGGUUACUGGAGGUACAUUGCAAAUCAGGGUACAAAGCCUGCUGUGCACCGAGAAUACACACCAGCUGGUGCUCGCAAGGACUGCCGUCCAUCGGUACAACUGCUGUCUUUCUGCUGCAUUUGGGCCUCUGGUGUACUAAACGAGCAGAACCUACCUGAGCUCAAGGACCCACCUCCUGGUGUUGGCGUCUGGGGACAGGUUGGGAGCUACACGCAGUAGAAAAGUUGUGGCUGGGAUGAGCUGUCAGUAGCUGCUGUUGGGGGCAAGUCAUCCCUGGGGCGUCCUGAACAGGCCCACGUGCAGCAGGGAACAGACGGGCUCCGCUGGGGCUGAGCGCCAAGGGCGGGAUGCGGUGAUCAGGCAAACGCAGGGUGACCCUCCGUGAACAGGUCAGUGACAGGCGGCCGAGUGCAGGUCCCGCUUCCUGGGUGGGGCGUGGGGACAGGACAUCCCAGCAGGGUGGCAGAGAAGACACGGCUGACACACAAGACUAGCCCCCAAGGCUGGGUCUCUUCGCUGCCAAAGCCAAGGGGCCCAUGAACUGUACGCCAGGACUCAGGUGGCUACGGCUUGUGCGUGGAUGCGGUGGGAACCAGUCUUCUCAGCGUUUUGUGUAACUGCAGAGGAAGGUGAGUUCUGACUGCGCUUCCCGUUAACCAUUACCACGUUAUAAAUCAGUGAAAAUUUACCAAACUCUAGUAGAGGCAGCUACACACCCGGGCUGACGACAGCCGUCUGGGCUCUCCCACCACGACGGCGUCACUGUGCCACCGCCGCCUGGCCCGAGGAGCAGCGCCACCUCCUUGGGACGUAAGAAAGAAAGAGGGUGUUCUUAUUACUUCUUCAAGGAGGUAGGAACCUAGUCUGGCUACAUAUCCCCGUCGUAUCUGAAGGGCUGUAUCUAGACUCGUGGGAUUUAGAGCUAGAUCGGUUCUCAGAAGUCGCUUCCUCCGAUUGUCUGUUGUUUCACGUGGAGAACGAGGCUUAGAGGGUACGUAGCUGCAGGCCUCUCGGCAGCCGGGGACGUGCCCCGCGCUGGUCUCCGAUGCCAGCAGUGAGUCCCUUAUUAAUUGUGACGUGUAUUAGCGGUAGUAGGUUUAUAUGUAGGCGUAUAUUGGUUAUAUUUGGUAUUAACUUGCCUAAUUAAUAAAUAGGCAGUAUUAGUGAAACCAAGAUUUCAGUAGGAUGGCUACUGGAAAACCGAAGGAGUUAAAUGUUUUUCCCAUUAGACUCAGUCGUCUUUUUCUAAAAUCAGCUGAGGAAGCUGUGUGACUGACAGAUGACAACGACCAGGAGAAGUUCAAGUAUUCUUUAUUCAAAGUUGAAAAAUGUACCACACUGCAUUAUUGCAAAAAUUCACUGGUACAAAACACUUUGCAGCUGGUGAGAAGGCAAUAAAAAGUUGAUUUUUAAACUCAUUACUAUAAAUUAUUCUUACAGUACUUUUAGCAAAUUCAGAAUUUCAAACUGCAUUUUCUUUUUCUAAAUCGCCCACAGUACUCGAGGUUCCUGAAGCUAAGGCAGCUGUUCCAAGAGGAGAAGGGGGGAGGUAGCAGACGUCAAGGGAUUUCCAUUUCUCUUUCGAUGCCCACGUACUUGAGGGCGUCAGCCUGGCUGUAUCUGAAACAAACAAACAGCAAGAAAAAGGGGUGAUAAAAGCUGUGACAAGGACUGAAGCCGUGUAGCUUAACUUCCAAACAAACCAAACCCACAAGCCCAAGCUGAAAAGGCAUUUUAAAUUCACUUCUCAUCAAACCCAACAGACUUGCCCAAUGAAAAUCAGUCCCAAGCAAAGUGAGUACAGAUGACGCCCGCGAGCAUCCCUCUGUCUGCAACUGGACGGCUGUGCCUUACCUCUCCGCAGUAUUCCGAGAUGAAUUCGUUCUUCUGUACAGGAUCUUUGAUGAAAAUCCCCCAGCCUGCCACAUCAGACGGUGCUAGCAAUAAAUGCUAGAGAACAAUAAACACAGUCAUAUGAUCAGAGGAGAGCGAAGAUGGACAAACCAGACAUGGGAUGACCCAGGGUAAUUCAACCACGGGCGGGGGAAGGGGUCAGCUCCCCCACGUUACCGAAGGGCUUGGCAAACUGCAAGAACGUUUUGGUUUUUGUAAAUCAAGUAGAGAGCCUGAGUAUCCUCUGUCUCUCUCAGAAAUACGACGUCACCUAUGCUGGUGCGGGUCCCUCCGACUGCGGUCCUUGCACGAGGCAUCCUGACACGCUGCACCAUUUGCUUCCCUGUCCGUCCUUCCGCCCUUGACUUCCUGGACUUCACGUGCAACGUGCCUGUCACACAGGGACCCCUUGCUCCCCCUCUGUCCGUGCCCCCCGCACCUCCCCAAGGCGGCCUCUAUCACCACCUCCUCCGGGUCCAGUCCCAGCCCCCGUGGGGCCCUCUCCUGGCUCUUCACCAGCUUUUAUUCCUCCCGAAGCGCUGCCCUUCCUUCCAGGGCGCUUUUCUCUUGGGCGCAUCCUUCCACAGCCCUUCCUCACGACAGCACGAAAAACCACCGCGAGGGGCAGCACGAUCCCGUGGGCCAGCAUUCUGUUCUUAGCGGAUGCCAAGAGGGCUGAUCACUGCUGUGGCUUCUACCGUUAGAGUCUGUUUGGGAAUGAGUCCCUGACCUUUCAUCGUGGCUCAUCAUUAUGCUUUCAUUCCAAGUAUCCUCGUGGCCUCGAAAAAGACUCCCGGGUCCCCAGGUUACCGAUCUGUGCUUGUUCUGACUCAGCCUACACUCCCUGUCGGGGAAGAAUUAACCAAGUACCUUCCUGACCAGCGAAAUACUGUUAAGCAAAUGAAACCCCGUUGGUACAAAGUAUCUACACAGUUUUCUGUUUUAGGAGGUAAAAGAUGUGUAGGAAGACAUGUCGCCAUUAGGAUUAUCCACUUUCUGAACUGAAGGAGGGGUUUUCAUCAUACAGUGGGAAAGUACAGGAUUGAGGGAGAAAUGGGAGUUCUCAGGGCUGAAUGGGUGUCCCCGGGAAACCACGCCAGCAUCACUGUGACGUGAGGACCUAGAGUAAAACCGUCUGAACGCCUGAUAGCAAACGCCACAGCCAAAAAUAUAAAGCCACUGCCAUAAACAGAACUUCCAGUAGAGCAGGACUGACAGUACUGCGAUCUCAGUUACAUUACACACUAGUUCAAGACCCUAAGAGAAGAGCGUGCUGCGUGCACACGGGGUGGUCACUCAUGGCACAGGGUCCGGGGCCGGAACGCCUGGCUGAGUUCCUGCUCCUUUCCUGACAAGUCUCAGAACGUUGGGUUUAAUGAUUAUUCCUAACUCAGGGAGUUAGGAAGACUAAUGAGUUAAUACACAAAGUGCUUAGACCAGGGCCUGCUCUGUAUUAAAUAAUAAAUGUCAGCUAUUAUUAUAAAAAUGAUUAACUGAAGAAAUCUAUCAGCUACCCUAAAAAGCCAAGAUACUGAUAGUACCCUAAAAACUAAGUUUCUUUUGGUCAGCAAUAAACUCCCUGGUUGCAACAAGUCAAGUCCAUGCAAUGCCCAGGCUUCAGUUAUGUAAUUCCUGCCUGUGUUAUUUUCAAGGUUAUUACAGAAACUACUGUGGGAAGUCCCAUCUUUUACUCUGUGCAAAAAGGAACCCAGAAUACUAUUUGAUAAGAAUGGGUCUCUCUGUUCUGACAGGAACACCACUGAUUUGCUCUAAGGAGACUAGAUAAACCACUUGUUCUGUUAACUAAACUUAAAAAAGAAAAUCGAAUCAUCUAUUAAACAACUAGAAAAAUACCUCUUAUUCAAAUCCGAUACCAUUAACAGCUGCUUCUCAGAGUUGACUGGUUCAUCCUAUAGCAAACUAUUCUACAGAAAAAUCAACCAUUUUCCUUUUAUCAGCUGUACCAUUCAAUAAUCACUUUUUUGCCCCAGCUAAAUGGUCUAAGACUAUCCUGACUUUGACAUCUCUCGGAAGCCCACCAACAACGAUCACGCCCUACCUUCUUAGAGCCCCGCUGAAUGCUACAGUUCUUGCAGGACACGUUUUUACUGUCCCAGUGGUCAGCGGCUCCACAAGUAAGACAGAGGUCGGGGUCACACUCUCGGACAGCCAGGUAGCACGGGCACUGCUUGGUGUUGCACUGGGCUUUGCAGCGGCAUCCCGGAAAGCGGUUCUGACCUUCAGAGAGAUGUUCUUCGUCAGACGAAAACCUUGCCUAAUGGUGCAGCUCAAGUCUGGCGCUAAGGCCCUGAUUAAUGCACGGAGGCCUCACAACAACUGUAUUAUCCCAUCGUACACAUGAGGAAAGGGAAGUAACAGGAAAGUUAAAGCUGUCCAUACUGAAAGAGAUCACUGAGUUCCUGUCUCCCCUUUUUUGUCUGUUAGAUGGCAUGUGUACGUACAGUUCUUUGAUUUAUAAAGCAGGUGUGAAGGAAGGAUUUGGACUACAUAAUAUCCACGGAUCUCAACCAUUCCGAUAGAGUUCUAGGUACUUCCUUGGUAUCCAGGCUUCAGUGCAGUUUCAUUAAAUCAUUACAGUCGCUACCCUGAUGCUACACAUUCCUGUAUUCUGAAGACUAAACCCACCUAACUCUUAACAGUUUCUGGUGUCCAAAAAGUAUUUGGGUAGCUAUUUCUAGAGUCCCCUUCCAUUCUGUGUCAGCUCUACUAUGAUUUAAGUUAAAUGAUCAAGGGGGAAAAAAUAAAAGCUCCUUUAACCCACAUUCGCCUAAACCUGCCCACAUACCCGCGUCAGCCAGGAGGCUGGCUGGAUACAGGCCCAGCGCCACUCCUGGGCGCCAUGCAUGCUCGUGGCAUAAGUGAAUUUCCCAAAGGGAAGAGCACGCAGGAGCUGCCGUGUCCUUGUGCCGACUGAGGUUACAGUUUUAAAUUGCUGACCAACAGCCUAUUGAAUUCUCACGUAAUCACAUCAAGACAACAUACUUACACUCUGAACUACAUUGACAAAACUUUUCACAAAAAUUCUGGGCUAUCACACAAGGGCACGAGCUGUCGCAAGGCUGCCGCGGGUGGUCACAGGGCUGGUAGUUGUAAACAUGGUUGGAGGAGCCGUCUGCACAGAGACAACAGCACCACGUCAGUCCAGAGAGCGGCAAGGGGAGCACACGCCCGACAAGCACAUGCUCUCCCCGUGGCCCUCCGAGCUUAGCGGGUUGUCUUUCCGUGUCCGCAACGUCACACACACUGUUUACAACAGGUCAGCAGAAAUUAGCCCCACCCGCCAAGAGCUCGGGAACCCUGGGGCACUGUCACACACACCUCAGUCAGGUUCCCAGAGUCGUUCUCCUCUAACCGACUGGAAAUUAAUCAACAGACAGCCUCCAUUUAAUGCACUUCUGUGCAUUAAACUUCAGUGCACCAAAGUCGGUUAUAUUAGAAUAUCCCAAACUCUAAUCCAAUUACUAUUCUAAGACACGAGAAGUAGACCGAGUUACUAAUGAAGCUGAACAGAAAGGUGCCGACCCUUCUUCAGCUGUAUCUUUCUGCAGUGCGCAGCCCACAACCUGCAAAACACAAAGGAAGAAAACAUCACCCUCGUGACCUGGGGCGCACAGUCAGCCACAUGUCAACAAUCGCAACUUAAAUGCGUCAACCUGGGCCAUGAAUGCAGCGGGGCUCUUAAUCCAAGUAACCAUGAAAAGAGGAG
Molecule: long non-coding RNA, 6214 nt
Organism: Globicephala melas (long-finned pilot whale)
Lineage: Eukaryota; Metazoa; Chordata; Mammalia; Artiodactyla; Delphinidae
Source: RefSeq, a predicted model, not a curated record